This 242-nucleotide long non-coding RNA is filed under the name Homo sapiens (human). RNAcentral describes it as "HSALNT0229650". Lineage: Eukaryota; Metazoa; Chordata; Mammalia; Primates; Hominidae. The record is from RNAcentral.
CUGAGGUGGGGCUGUGCCUGUGGCGUGGCUGCAGUGGAGUGACUAAGAGUCAGGCAGGGGAGGGGAAGCCAGGUUAUGUCGGACAGUAAAGGUUCCGUAAGGCCGUGGGAACUGUUCCAAGUGCAGCACCUCAGAGCUGGCCCCUGCCCUCAAGUAGCUUCCAGUUUGUCAGAAGAGACAGACAUGAACCAAGGAGUCACUCCAUCAAAUGCAAAAGCAGAACUGUGACGGAUGUUAUGAGG